RNAcentral lists this long non-coding RNA (8396 nucleotides) under Gossypium barbadense (sea-island cotton). RNAcentral's name for it is "long non-coding RNA (GBAR_LNC019214)". The record is from RNAcentral. Lineage: Eukaryota; Viridiplantae; Streptophyta; Magnoliopsida; Malvales; Malvaceae.
UCCUCCGUCGCCCGAUUCGGGUCCAAGGGGGUCGACGGUCUCCCCUUCGUUUCACUUCUCGCGGGUUGAGAGAGCUUGGCUCUCAAGGACACCGUAACAGGGGCCGAAGGGCCCAUCGUUUUCCGUCGUCGGCCAUUGGUCAAGGCGGCGGCGCGACCAUUUCGUUACCAGAGACCAUAAGUUAGAGGUGUGGGGAGUGUUGAGAGAUUGUGAGUUUUUUUUUUUACUUUGAAUGGCUGAAGGAGUAAAAAAAAAACUUUAGUUUUUAUAAAGAAAGUGGAACAGCGUUGUUUGAUGGAGGGAUUUGUGCAUUCUAUGCCCUAAUGGGUAAUUUAUGAAUUUAGUCCCUCCAUCUUGCGUUGAGGUGCAAUAAAACUCUUUAUUUCUUUUAGAUUUAGGCUGCAAAUUUUGAUUCUGUUUCAAUCAGGUCCUUUGACCAUACAUGGUCUUUUGCGCUGAAACAUUGCACUCUCGGACUGGGGUAUAUAGCCCGAUUAGUCCUUCAUUCUUCGCACGCGCGCCAUUUUAAUCCCUUGUGACCUAUUUAUGGUUUUUGCAAUUAAAACCCCAGAUUCUAGUUUGAUUUCAGUAUCACCCCAGGUCCAUUUUAAGAUCUUUAUUUAUUUAUUUUUUAUUUUUUUAAACUUUCCUUUAUUAUUAUUUGUUUUAAACUUCUUAUUUAUCAUUUAUUAUAAACUAUUUUUGCAUGUUAUUUAUUUAAUUCUUUUAAUAUAUUAUCCAUUUUAAAUCACUAUAUGUGUAUAUUCUUUUAAAUUCCCACGUAUGUAUAUUCCAAAGAAAUUCGUCGUAGGCCUUUUGUUUAUUUGUUUUAAACUAUUAAUAUUCACUUAAAAUUUUUAUAUACCAUAUAUUUUUGAAGCCUGUUAUUAUUUAUUCUUGUAAAUCAUUUAUUUUAAAUUGUUAUUUGCUUUAAAUUGUUUUGCAUACACAUAUUUUUAAAAUAUUUCCUUUUCUUUAACAUUAUUUGUUCAAAAUUUAUUUAUUAUCUUUUAAAACUAUCCUGCAUUUUAUUUGUUCUAAUUUGCUUUGUAUUAUUCAUCUUGAAAUUGUUAUAUAUGUUAUUUAAUUUAUUCGUCUUUGACUAUUAAUGCUAGUCUUUAAAUAAUGUAUGUUGCAUGCUUAUUACCAUUAUGUGUACUAUGAAUUGUUUAUUUGUAUUUUAAUAUUAUUGUUAUUUAUCAACGUAACCAUUUAUUCAUACAUCAAUUUAACAUCACAUCAAUUUUUACCCAAAUUAGUAAAAAAAUGAUAUUUUUGGAAAUAAAGGCAAUACUCGAUACUUGGGAUCUUCGAGGGAAUUGGGCCCAAACGUGUUGGGUUCUAAUUUUUUUCGUUGAAUCUAAAUAAUCGAGAAUCCUCUUUAAUAAAAAAAACAUAAAUAAAAAUCUCAUUAUCGGGAAUCCAAUAUGUUGUGUCCUAAUGCAUUGGAUGUGACACGUUGUUUUCUCGAAAUGAGGAUUUUUCAAAGAAAUAAUAAAGGCAAUAUUCUAUAUUUAGAAACUCGAGAAGUCGUGCCCUAACUUAUUGGGUUCCGAUUUUUCUCGCGUUAAACCUAAAUAACCAAAUAUUCUUUUAAAAUUGAAUUAAAUGAGGUUUAAAUAAAAAAUAAAAGGCAAGCUUACUCUCAAAAAUACGAGGUGUCGUGUCCUAACUUACUUGAUGUGACAUCUUGUUAAUUCGAGAUAAGACGGCAUUUUUCAUUUUGAUUUAUUCGAGUAAUUUUUAAAACAACACAAUAUAAAGAGGGAUCGUAUUUUUAAAUUCUUUUCGAGUUUUUAGUUUUUGACACCAAGGCAUUAAGUAAUCAACUAGGUACCAAUUUUGGGCGUAUCGAGGGUGCUAACCCUUCCUCGUGUGUAAUCGACUCCUGAACCUAUUUUCCUGAAUUUCGUAGACCGAAAUCGUUAUUUUAAUAAAACCUAAAUCGUUUAUUAAAAACAACCGUUUUACGAGGUGACCCGAUCACACCUCAUAAAAAAAGAUUGGUGGUGACUCCCACAUUCGAUUUCAUUUUUCAAAACCCAAGUCGACCCCGUUUUAUCAAAAAAAUGGUGUCAAUAGCUUGGCGACUCCACUGGGGAUGCCAAAAUAAAUGAGUCAAGCCACGAGUUGAUUACUUUUUUUCUUUUUGUCAAAAAUCAAAAACUUGGUUUAAAUAUACGAUCGUUUCGUUGCAUUUCAUUCGUCCUUAUUACGAUCUUCACCAUUGUGGUUUGUAAUUGCUGUGUUAGUUUAAGUUUUAGUAUAUUUCUGCAAAUUGCAUUGCAUGACCGUUGGUCACACCUUUUUAAGUGGGAGUGAGAAACUACGCCUUCGUGAGGUUUUCUCCUCCGCAUGGGAUAGUGAAUUGCUUCCGGGAUACAUCCGUACCUAUGUCUUCGUGAGAUUUUCAUCUCCGUGCAGCCAUAGGGAAAUGUAUUCCCCUGAACCGAACUCGGUUCGCAUGAGCCUAUAAUGGGUGAGGAUCGAGGAAUCUGUUGGUUCGGGUACCCUUACUUUAGAACCAAACCUCAUGUAGUGAACCUUAGGAGCCCACCCUAGAAAGAACCACUUCGAACCCCUAGUGGUCACCCGAAUAGGUGUUCUAUUUAUUUUUGCUUGCUUUUGCAUUGUACUAACCUAUUUUCUUUUGUUUUGGUUAUGAUUGCAUUGCAUUUUUCAUCAUAAAAAAGAGGUGUUGAUUCACGUUCAGUUGUUAAAUAGAGAGCUUGUCAUAAGAAAAUGAGUUUCUUGAUAAAGUGGAUGAAACUACGGUUGUCCGAAUAUGGUCCAAGAAAACGUGAUAAGAGAAGGAUGAUGGAGGACUACACGACUAUUGCCCAAGGAUUCAAGAUGACAAAAUUAUCCGAGAGCCGCUGAACUUUCUUAAAGAGAAGCCAACGAACAUCACCAGGAUGAGUGAGCAACAAGUCGCAGCCCAGAGGAAAUAGAAGAGACGUCCCUUCUGGAGAGUUCUUAAAAUUUAUCUUAACGCUCGAAUGAAGAAGAGGAUCGAAUGUCUCCGUAUAUGAGGGCAAAGCCGUAUAUAUAUCCACUUUAUGUAAAGAGAUUUAUUUCCUAGUAAAGUUGUUCUAAUAGAAUUGAACCAAGAAUCAACAUCUCUUUUUGCAUUCAUUGCACGUAUCUUUUCAUUCAUUAACAUUACAUUUCAUUACAUACAAUAAAUUUCCUAAAAUCCAAAAAUACGCAUUCAUGCAUCAACAUUACAUUUCAUUGCAUACUAAAUUUCCUAAAAUCCAAAAGUACGUCGAGUUUAGAACUCUAGUACAAAACCAAAUGGAUUGGAAUUCUUUGAAUAUAUCGAUGGUUCGAAAGGUGAAGAUGUUUGUGCCUUCGAAGAAGAACUAAAAAAUGAAAAAACCUAUCAUGAAUUUGUUUCUACAUCCUUAAGGGCGUUCUAAACAACUGAACUGUGGAGGAGAUUUCUUGUAAUUUUUAGGACCAUUUCAGAGUAAUAUUUGGAACGCUCUUAUUGUUCUAAGCCUGGGAGCAAUAGAAAAUCCUUUUGUGAAAAGGCACAUGUCCACUAUUCUUUAUUUCAACGAAAUGCAUCUUUGUGUCUUGUUUUGGGCAAAUAUUCUUUUGUUCUUUCCAGUUCAUUCAUGCUCAUACCGUACAGAUAAUUGUCAUUCGAUUCAUUAACUCUUUGAACCUUCCUUCGUCCUUAGAAUAGGUCUCCAAAUAUCAAUGAUAUGAGCGACACUACUAUUGACUCAGAAUCUCCUUUUGAGCAAGAUAUGUGUCUAGGGGAACCUUAAGACUUUGAAGAUGAUCGAGACUGUAAUUUAUCUCCUGAUUUAUUAAGGAUGGUAGAGCAAGUCGAAAAGCAAAUCCUACCUUACAAAAAAAUCAGUUGGAAAUUGUGAGCUUAGGAGAAGAGAAAAAGGUGAAGAUCAGAGCUUGUAUCACCGCAGAGACGAAGCGAGAUGUCAUUGAGUUACUCCAAAAUUUCAAAGAUGUUUUCACAUGAUCAAGAUAUGCUUGAGCUACAAAGACGUGUGGACGCCCUUAAGGAAAAGAAGAUCUUGGGAGAGGUCUAUACGGGUGUUUGAGGAACACAUGCUAAUGAUUUUGUAAUGGCCAAGCAAAUCAGGAGAUUUGGGUACUGCUGGUCCACCAUGGAAAGGGAUUACAUCAGUUAUACCAAGAAACGCCACAAGGGCCAAAUUUACGAAGACAAGAUUUAUAUGCUUCCUUUAUCUCUUCAUGUUAUGACUUUUCCAUAGACUUUCUCUAUGAGGGGCAUGGAUGUCAUUGGGCCGACCUCGCCAAAAGCUUUUGGCGGUCAUCGAUCCAUAUUUGUGGUCGUCGAUUACUUUAUCAAGUGGGUAGAGGUUGUUUCAUAUGCCAAUAUUGCAAAGCUGACAGUCAGUAAAUUCCUGAAAAAGAAAUCAUAUGUCGGUAUGGAAAGCCAAAAGGCUCAUGUCAGACAAUGCGUUGAAUUUGAAUGAUGACAUGAUAUCAGAAGUUUGCAGUCUAUUCAAUAUUAACACCAUGCUGCCCCAAAAUGAACGACUCAGUGGAGGAAAACAAAAAAAACAAAAAAACCUCUACCGGGGCAUCUCAUUUCCCAUUGGUAUAUGGAAUAGAGGCAGUCUUACCCAUCAAAGUCGAUAUUCUUUCCCUUCGAGUCUUGUCAGAGCUGAAGUUAGAUGAAGCUGAAUGAAUCCUGGCCCGACAUGAUCAGUUAAAAUUUGAUUGAAGAGAAAGGUCGAAAGCUAUUCGUCAUGGUCAAAUACACCAAAAACAAAUGAUGCGAGCUUACCAAAGAAAAGGUUCACCCCAGAGAAUUCCAUGAGGGGAACCUGAUAUCGAAGAAGAUCCUUUCCAAACAAAAAGACUUCAAAAGAAAGUGGAUGCCAAAUCGAGAAGGACCUUAUGUGGAAGGCCUUAUCUAGGAGAGCGUCGGUAUUGACCAAGAUAGAUGGCAAGAACUUGCCUAAUCUAGAGAAUUUUGAUGCAAGCAAUAGAAACUUCACUUGAGAAAAAAAACAAAAAGAAAAAAGAAAAGAAAAACGAAAAAGAAAAGAGAAAAAGGAGAGGCCAAUGUGAAAACCCGCAAAGGGCGCAUUGAGACAAAAAGGGUUUUGAAUUGAAAACCUAGGAAUAGGCAGUUCAAAUUUUGAUCGAAGGUGGGGUAUGCGGUAGUCUUGUCCUCUCCGAAUUAAUAAGAAGGAGAGAUGCUACAUCUUGGGGCAUCAACAAAGUCUUCUAGGACUUUUAGACACAUAUCAAGUUCAAAAGGGUCCUCAAGAAGUUUGGGGCAGAGAAGCUCAUGCUAUGAUAUCUGGGGCACCUAUUUCCAUUUUAUUCAUUUUGUAUUUUUGACAAAAUACGCCAUCUUGAUUAAUUUAUUCUCAUUUUGUAUUCUAGCAAAAUUUGCUAUCUUGAUUAAUUUGUUCAUUUAGAGCUUUGCUCUCAACAAAUUUUCAUCUUAUCUAUUGUGAUAAUCUUUGUCAUCUUAUACAUCUUGUAUCUCAGCAAAAUUUGCUGUCUUGAUUGAUUUGUUUGUUUAGAGCUUUGCUCUCAACAAAAUUUCAUUUUGUCUAUUUUAAUAAUCUUUUUCAAGCAUUUUUCAUUGAAAUAAUGAUUAAUGGACUGACAAUACUCAUGCAGAAGGAGUUCUACAUAUUACUCUGAAAGUUUCUAAAUAAUACGAGGACCUGAAAUAGGACUAUUGUUUAGAACUAACCAAACCUAAGGGUUGGAAACAUUUGAGAAAGGAUAGUCUAAAUUGAGACUAUUUCUUUGAAUCUUCUGUCAAAGAUACUUGUUGAACGGGAAAACAUCAGUGAUAGAACCUUGACGAACAACGAGGAACGACAACCCAAACAUUAAAAAGGGAUCAUUCUCAUGACAUUCUACAUUCAUGAAAAUAUCAUUCAUACACAUCUAGUUAGGAGCAUUUGAUUUAUUCUGAUUAUGUCAUCCUAAACACUAGGCAUAAAUAGGUCCACGAAAUGGAUUUUGCAGGUCAUAUUCCCCAGAGAAUAGAUCAAAGAAAGCAGAUCUUGCCUUCCUGCAUUAACAGUGAAGAAGAUCGAAAACAAAGCUUUGCCUCCAUCGGUUGCAGUGGAGCUGGUCAAAGAUAACAGAUCUUGCCUUCCUGCAUUAACACCGAAGCAGAUCGAAAACAAAGCCUUGCCUCCAUCAGUUGCAGUGGAGCUGGUCAAAGAUAGCAGAUCUUGCCUUCCUACAUUAACAACGAAGCAGAUCGAAGACACAAACAUUGCCUCUCUCGGUUGUAGCAGAGCUGGUUAAAGACAACAGAUCUUGCCUUCCUGUAUUGACAGCGAAGCAGAUCGAAGACAAACCUUGCCUCUCUCGGUUGUAGUUGAGCUGGUUGAAUACAACAGAUCUUGCCUUCCUGCAUUGACAGCGAAGUAGAUCGAAGACAAACCUUGCCUCUCUCGGUUGUAGUGGAGUUGGUUGAAUACAACAGAUCUUGCCUUCCUGCAUUGUCAGCGAAGUAGAUCGAAGACAAACCUUGCCUCUCUCGGUUGUAAUGGAGCUGGUUGAAUACAACAGAUCUUACCUUCCUGCAUUGACAGCGAAGCAGAUCGAAGAUGAACCUUGCCUCUCUCGGUUGUAGUGGAUCUGGUUGGAGACAACAGAUCUUGCCUUCCUGCAUUAACAGCGAAGCAGAUUGAAGACACAAAACUUGCCUCUCUCGGUUGUAGCAGAGCUGGUUAAAGACAACAGAUCUUGCCUUCCUGCAUUGACAGCGAAGCAGAUCGAAGACAAACCUUGCCUCUCUCGGUUUUAGUGGAGCUGGUUGAAGACAACAGAUCUUGCCUUCCUGCAUUGACAGCGAAGCAUGUCGAAGACACAAACCUUGCCUCUCUCAAUUGUAGUGGAGCUGGUUGAAGACAACAAGUCUUACCUUCCUGUACUGACAGCGGAGCAGACUAAAAAUAACAGAUCUUGCCUUCUUGUAAUGACGGAGAAGCAGAUCAAGGAUGGCAAAUUUUACCUCCCUGUGACUACAGUGGAGUACAUUGAAGCCGAUAAUUCUCUCUCUCUGGUUGGUAGUGGAAUGGAUUGAAGAUCAAAGAUGGCAGAUUUUACCUCCCAGUGAUUACAGUGGAGUACAUUGAAGCCGAUAAUUCUAUCUCCCUGGUUGGCAGUGGAAUAGAUUGAAGAUCGAAGAUGGUGAAUCUUAUCUUCCCAAGAUAGUGGAGAAGCAGAUUUAAGCCAUUAGUCCUAUCCCCCUGGGUAGUAGUGGAAUAGAUUGAAAAUCACAGAUCUUAUCUUUCUGAAGUUGCAGUAGAGCAGAUCGCAUCCAGUCUUAUCUCCCUAAGCAGUAGUGGAGCAGACAAAAACCACAAAUCUCACCCCUAUGGAGUUGCAGUAGAGUAGAUUGAAGCUACAAACCGUAUCUCUCUAAGGUGCAGUGAGGUGGAUUGAAGCAACAAAACACAGUGGACUAAAAUGAGGCUACUCGAAGAAGAAAAGCACCAAGAAGUCAAGACUCGGUGAGACCGGGCAAAAUUGGUCUUUCUUAGUCUUUGCUCUAUUCUCGUUACACGAAAAUGAGCAAAGAGGGGCAGCUGUAAAAGCCCAUUUUUGCCCGGGCCCAAUAUGGCUCAACAAAGCCUAAUAACCCAAAAUAAUGGCCCAAAAAAACCCUUCACCCAAAUCAAGCCCAAAAUCAAACAAAUUAGAAAAACCUAGGGUUCCUUAACCCUCUUUGCGCCGCAUGUCUCCCUAGCCUCAAGAGCUGCUGCUUUUGCCCAAUGCCCCCUCGCGCAUGCCUUCUGGAACCACCGUCGGCCUCGUCUGACACCUGCAGAGGGAAAUAAAUACAAAGCAACAGGAGAAUCCGGCGAAAUAAUGGCAAAAGGACAAAAGAUUAGAAAUAGAGAGACUUGUAAUUCGGGUUAUAAAAGCCCCAAGCACUAUUUGCACUUUUUCUUCUUGGAUUUUCUUUGUAAAAACGCAAAUUAGAAAUCAAAAAAACUGAAUAGAUUUUUUUUUAAAAAAGGUUGAAUCCCUGCUAUUUCCUCUGCGUUUAUUUAUUUAUUUUUGUGUUUAUCUUAUUUUUUUCUCUUUCUUUUGUAAAUCUAUUUUAAAUAACUAAUAAAAAAUCAAAAGCGAAAGAGGGGGAAGAGAAACUCAUCGGAGUUGGUCGUGACCGUGCCGCCAGUGGGUCUCUCCUCCGUCGCCCGAUUUGGGUCCAAGGGGGUCGACGGUCUCCCCUUCGUUUCACUUCUCGCGGGUUGAGAGAGCUUGGCUCUCAAGGACGCCGUAACAGGGGCCGAAGCGCCCAUCGUUUUCCGUUGUCGGCCGUUGGCCAAGGCGGCGGCGCGACCAUUUCGUUACCAGAGACCAUAAGUUAGAGGUGUGGGGAGUGUUGAGAGAUUGUGAGGUUUUUU